UAGGUAAAUUUGUCUCAAAUCGUGUGUUUAGUAUAGGUGUAUUACUCUUGAAAAACUAGACUGUUUGGCGGCGAAAGGUAUAGACAGAGGAAAAUGCUGUUAAUCGAAAUUGCGCGAUAAAUCUUACCAGAACUUGAAACUCAUUUUGUACACAGCCGUCUGAAGGAUAAAUUUAAUAGUUUGCUCUUACUCUAAAAUAUUGAAUAGAGAAUUAAGUCAGGUCAAUGUGCAGACUAUGUUCUGGAAAAAGUGUUUUUCAUCAUUAAUUAUAAUGUGUCCCAUAUUCAUAAUAAACUAUAUUUCCUUACAAAUAAAUCCUUGGGUAAUUGAAUUUGUUAGUAAAUAUUGUUUAAUAUGCACUAUUGAA
This 367-nucleotide ribosomal RNA is filed under the name Perineus nigrolimbatus. RNAcentral's name for it is "partial 12S ribosomal RNA". The record is from RNAcentral. Lineage: Eukaryota; Metazoa; Arthropoda; Insecta; Psocodea; Philopteridae.